Small nucleolar RNA from Phodopus roborovskii (desert hamster), 126 nucleotides. RefSeq annotates it as small nucleolar RNA SNORA33. The record is from RefSeq and is a predicted model, not a curated record. The transcript has a single exon. NCBI's taxonomy places the organism in Eukaryota, Metazoa, Chordata, Mammalia, Rodentia, Cricetidae.
AAGCCAGACAAUUAAUUUGUCUCUUACAAUGCUCCUAUAGAAAUUUAGAAAAAGCUGGCAAUAAUACCAUAUUAUAAGUCUUGAGGACAACGACAGUCAUUAAGGUCCCUGAAAAUGGCUACAUUA